RNAcentral lists this ribosomal RNA (253 nucleotides) under uncultured bacterium. RNAcentral's name for it is "partial 16S ribosomal RNA". It matches the Rfam family "Bacterial small subunit ribosomal RNA", at positions 524 to 776 of the family's 1533-position model. RNAcentral also lists the same sequence under 1 other name. The record is from RNAcentral.
UACAGAGGGUGCGAGCGUUAAUCGGAAUUACUGGGCGUAAAGCGUGCGUAGACGGUUAUCUAAGUCAGAUGUGAAAGCCCCGGGCUCAACCUGGGAAUUGCAUUUGAGACUGAAUAGCUAGGGUGCGGUAGAGGGAAGCGGAAUUUCCGGUGUAGCGGUGAAAUGCGUAGAUAUCGGAAGGAACAUCAGUGGCGAAAGCGGCUUCCUGGACCAGCACCGACGUUCAGGCACGAAAGCGUGGGGAGCAAACAGG